Non-coding RNA from Macaca mulatta (Rhesus monkey), 3626 nucleotides. The record is from RefSeq and is a predicted model, not a curated record. NCBI's taxonomy places the organism in Eukaryota, Metazoa, Chordata, Mammalia, Primates, Cercopithecidae.
AUUGCUGGACUUUUCAUAUCUCUGGUAAAGGUGAACACUGCAAAACAGUUCAUGAUAGGAAGCACCGAGGCUUUGACCAGUCACAGUGAUGAGGGAGAUCAGGCCAUUUGGACCACAUUAUUGGAAGAGAUGGAGACAGUGCCAAGUCCUGAAAAUUAAGAUGGACAGCCCACAGGCCAGCAAAAGAAUCUUUGUAGCUGAGAAAACAGAAGUCCUCAGUGAAGAUCUAUUACAGAUUGAGCGACGCCUGGACACGGUGCGGUCAGUAUGCCACCAUUCCCAUAAGCGCUUGGUGGCAUGUUUCCAGGGCCAGCAUGGCACCGAUGCCGAGAAGAGACACAAAAAACUGCCUCUGACAGCUCUCGCUCAGAAUAUGCAAGAAGCAUCAACUCAGCUGGAAGACUCUCUCCUGGGGAAGAUGCUGGAGACGUGUGGAGAUGCUGAGAAUCAGCUGGCUCUCGAGCUCUCCCAGCACGAAGUCUUUGUGGAGAAGGAGAUCGUGGACCCUCUGUACGGCAUAGCCGAGGUGGAGAUUCCCAACAUCCAGAAACAGAGGAAACAGCUUGCAAAAUUGGUGUUAGACUGGGAUUCCGUCAGAGCCAGGUGGAACCAAGCUCACAAAUCCUCAGGAACCAACUUUCAGGGGCUUCCGUCAAAAAUAGAUACUCUAAAGGAAGAGAUGGAUGAAGCUGGAAAUAAAGUAGAACAGUGCAAGGAUCAACUUGCAGCAGACAUGUACAACUUUAUGGCCAAAGAAGGGGAGUACGGCAAAUUCUUUGUUACGUUAUUAGAAGCCCAAGCAGAUUACCAUAGAAAAGCAUUAGCAGUCUUAGAAAAGACCCUCCCCGAAAUGCGAGCCCAUCAAGAUAAGUGGGCGGAAAAACCAGCCUUUGGGACUCCCCUGGAAGAACACCUGAAGAGGAGCGGGCGCGAGAUUGCGCUGCCCAUUGAAGCCUGUGUCAUGCUGCUCCUGGAGACAGGCAUGAAGGAGGAGGGCCUUUUCCGGAUCGGGGCUGGGGCCUCCAAGUUAAAGAAGCUGAAAGCUGCUUUGGACUGUUCUACUUCUCACCUGGAUGAGUUCUAUUCAGACCCCCAUGCUGUAGCAGGUGCUUUAAAAUCCUAUUUACGGGAAUUGCCUGAACCUUUGAUGACUUUUAAUCUGUAUGAAGAAUGGACACAAGUUGCAAGUGUGCAGGAUCAAGACAAAAAACUUCAAGACUUGUGGAGAACAUGUCAGAAGUUGCCACCACAAAAUUUUGUUAACUUUAGAUAUUUGAUCAAGUUCCUUGCAAAGCUUGCUCAGACCAGCGAUGUGAAUAAAAUGACUCCCAGCAACAUUGCGAUUGUGUUAGGCCCUAACUUGUUAUGGGCCAAAAAUGAAGGAACACUUGCUGAAAUGGCAGCAGCCACAUCCGUCCAUGUGGUUGCGGUGAUUGAACCCAUCAUUCAGCACGCCGACUGGUUCUUCCCUGAAGAGGUGGAAUUUAAUGUAUCGGAAGCAUUUGUACCUCUCACCACCCCGAAUUCUAAUCACUCUUCCCACACUGGAAACGACUCUGACUCGGGGACCCUGGAGAGGAAGCGGCCUGCUAGCAUGGCGGUGAUGGAAGGAGACCUGAUGAAGAAGGAAAGCUUUGGUGUGAAGCUUAUGGACUUCCAGGCCCACCGGCGGGGUGGCACUCUAAAUAGAAAGCACAUAUCCCCUGCUUUCCAGCCGCCACUCCCACCUACAGAUGGCAGCACCGUGGCGCCCGCUGGCCCAGAGCCCCCUCCCCAGAGCUCUAGGGCUGAAAGCAGCUCUGGGGGUGGGACUGUCCCCUCCUCUGCAGGCAUACUGGAGCAGGGGCCGAGCCCAGGUGACGGCAGUCCUCCCAAACCUAAGGAUCCUGCAUCUGCAGCUGCGCCAGCACCAGGGAGAAACAACAGUCAGAUAGCCUCUGGCCAAAACCAGGCCCAGGCAGCUGCCGGCUCCCACCAGCUCUCCCUGGGCCCACCUCACAGUGCUGCGGGGCCCAGCCCGCAUACUCUGCGCCGAGCCGUUAAGAAACCCGCUCCAGCACCCCCGAAACCAGGCAACCCACCUCCUGGCCACCCCGGGGGCCAGAGUUCUUCAGGAACAUCUCAGCAUCCACCCAGUCUGUCACCAAAGCCACCCACCCGAAGCCCCUCUCCUCCCACUCAGCACACGGGCCAGCCUCCAGGCCAGCCCUCCGCCCCCUCCCAGCUUUCAGCACCCCGGAGGUACUCCAGCAGCCUGUCUCCAAUCCAAGCUCCCAAUCACCCGCCACCACAGCCCCCUACGCAGGCCACGCCGCUGAUGCACACCAAGCCCAAUAGCCAGGGCCCUCCCAACCCCAUGGCAUUGCCCAGUGAGCAUGGACUUGAGCAGCCAUCUCACACCCCUCCCCAAACUCCAACGCCCCCCAGUACUCCGCCUCUAGGGAAACAGAACCCCAGCCUGCCAGCUCCUCAGACCCUGGCGGGGGGUAACCUUGAGACUGCACAGCCACAUGCUGGAACCUUACCGAGACCGAGACCUGUACCAAAGCCAAGGAACCGGCCCAGCGUGCCCCCACCCCCCCAUCCUCCUGGUGUCCACUCAGCUGGGGACAGCAGCCUCACCAACGCAGCACCGACAGCUUCCAAGAUAGUAACGGAUGCCCUUCCUGGUGCCCUCACAGGUGGGGAAGGUGUCCAGGACUAAGAUGUAUGACCUGCCAUAUUCAGUAAGAACUGAGAUUGGAAUAUUUAAUGACUCCAAUUCCAGGGUUUCAGAACCACAUCGCAGCAUCUUUCCUGAAAUGCACUCAGACUCAGCCAGCAAAGACGUGCCUGGCCGUAUCCUGCUGGAUAUAGACAAUGAUACCGAAAGCACGGCCCUGUGAAGAAAGCCCUCCCCAGCCCUCCGCCGCUUCCACCCUGGCACAUGGAGCAGGGGCAGGCAAACCUCUUCCUCUGCAGACAGAACAGUGAAAAGCUUUCAGUGGAGGACAAAGGAGGGCCUCACUGUGCGGGACCUGGCCUUCUGCACGGCCCUAGGAGCACCUGGAGGCCGCCACGGAAGCUGAAUGACCUGUGUCUUGAAGAAGUUGGCUUUCUUCACAUGGGAAGGAAAUAAUGCCAAAAAAAUCCAAAACAAAGAAAUACCUGGAGUGGAGAGAGCGUUCCUGCUGAAACGUGCAUAGGAAGCUUUUGCCCCUGCUGUUAACGCGGGCAGCACCUACAGCAACUUGGAAUGAGUAAGAAGCAGUGCGUUAACUAUCUAUUUAAUACAAUGCGCUCUUUAUGCGAGUGGCCUGCUCUCUGCUACCUGGACUUUCAUUCUUAUGUAUUAGGAGGGCGGCUGCUGUCCUUCAGACUUGCUGCAGAGUCAUUUUGUGUCAUAUAUCGUCUGUGUCUCCCCAGUCCCCUCAGAACCAUGCCCUUGGAUGGUGACUGCUGGCUCUGUCACCUCGUCAAACUGGAUGUGACCCGUGCCGCCUCGUUGGAUUGCCGGAAUGUAGACGGAAAUGUACUGUUCUUUUUUUUUUUUUUUAAACAAUGUAAUUGCUACUUGAUAAGGACCGAACAUUAUUCUAGUUUCAUGUUUAAUUUGAAUUAAAUAUAUUCUGUGGUUUAUAUGAAAA